RNAcentral lists this ribosomal RNA (253 nucleotides) under uncultured bacterium. Its description in RNAcentral is "partial 16S ribosomal RNA". It matches the Rfam family "Bacterial small subunit ribosomal RNA", at positions 524 to 776 of the family's 1533-position model. The record is from RNAcentral.
UACGGAGGGGGCUAGCGUUGUUCGGAAUUAUUGGGCGUAAAGGGCGCGUAGGCGGCCGGACAAGUCGGGUGUGAAAUCCCUCGGCUCAACCGAGGAACUGCAUUCGAUACUGUCUGGCUCGAGUCCGGGAGGGGAUGGUGGAAUUCCCAGUGUAGCGGUGAAAUGCGUAGAUAUCAGGAGGAACACCCGUGGCGAAAGCGGCUCUCUGGGACGGUACUGACGCUGAGACGCGAAAGCGUGGGGAGCGAACAGG